UGUAGAUUAAUGAUGGGACAUUACAAUGGUU
RNAcentral lists this non-coding RNA (31 nucleotides) under Rattus norvegicus (Norway rat). The record is from RNAcentral. Lineage: Eukaryota; Metazoa; Chordata; Mammalia; Rodentia; Muridae.